RNAcentral lists this long non-coding RNA (1208 nucleotides) under Theobroma cacao (cacao). Its description in RNAcentral is "long non-coding RNA (TCAC_LNC006247)". The record is from RNAcentral. Lineage: Eukaryota; Viridiplantae; Streptophyta; Magnoliopsida; Malvales; Malvaceae.
AUAUCAUCAUCUGUACGAGGGUUCCUUUCAACUGCACAAGGGUUUCUUUCAACUACACGAGGGUUUCUCGUUAAAACCUCUAAUUUCAAACUAGAUAAACUAAUCCUUUGACAUUGGAAAUUCAUGAUCAACCAUGAUGUUAAAGAAGUGGAAAAUAUGGGAGAAAUUAACAAUGCCAACAUACAAUCCAAUCACAAAUAUUUUAAUAAACUUUCUAUAACAUACAUAUAUAUACAUAUACAUACUUCAGCAUGUAUAUCACCGUCGCCUCACCCAGCUCAUGUGCAACCCCAACAUCGCGCACAUAGUUGAAGUCAUCGUGUGCACCCCCACAUAGCGCACAACUAUGUCAACCUUCGCACUCCCACACCCUGUCAUUACCGACAUGUGCAUCCCCUACAUAGUGCACAUGCACGGUUAUAUUCAUUACACAAUAUUAUCUACCAAUGUACUAUACAUAUAUAUAUCAACAUAUAAACGGAUUUCACAAAUUCAUUACAAUCACAUUUCGCAACGCAAGGAAAACGUUUCGUUAAAGGCUUGUUCCCGUAUGCAAUUUGAAGAAAAGAUAAUUUAAACAAUUCAAGUGAUUUGUUCAAACAUAUGCACAUCUACCCAAAACCUUUUAGUGCAGGUUCACUCACCGGUAUUUGUUAAAUCUUUACCCAAUUCCAACUUCCUCUGAUGGUCCAAAUGGGGCGAUGGAGCUUCGUUGGAACCUAUCAUCAUAAUAGCAUCAUAAUUAACUCAAUUCACAUAAAUAUAGUUCUAGAAGCUAUCUCCUAAAUCAUGUUCUGCUAGUUAUUCCUGACUAGUUUCCAACUACCAUUAAGUGGCUAUCUAUUUUCAUUAUUCAAAUCACACUAAAAUGAAUAAAUCACCUUAACUACAAAACACUCACAGAUCUAACCACUAGCCAUUCUUAACAACUAAAAAUAUCAACUCAAUUUCAAUACUCACCUUGUUAGAUUUGUAAUUGGAUUCCCCCUUAAGAAUUCCCAAACUAUUAUAAAGAGUCUUUUUUUCUCUCUCUAAAACACCUAACUAGUGAGAGAAAGUAUUAGUUUAAGACUUUGGAGGGUUUUUAAGGUGAAAGAGUAAAAUAGCAUAAAGGGUUUGUGAAAAGGUGCACAAAAGCAUGAAAUUCCAGACUAACUUGAGAGAGUUUUGGAAGCUUGAAGAGAACUCCCAUGGAGGAUAAAGAAACG